AUUGACUGUCAGGGAGACAGUGACACGUUGGACAAGGUUGGAAUAUGGUGUGCGUUUGAAGAGUUCGAAGAUUUCUUUUCUCCUAAGAAACCUGUUUGAUUUUUGUGUUUUUUCGUGCGAACAGAAAUGGACCGAACAAGAAGCUGCUGCUACGAAAUGGACUCGGGCAUUGAAGCGCGGCUUGUGAAAGCAAGUCUGAGUCUAUAGUUAAUACAUAUUGAUGGUUCCUCAACUGAUGAGAUUUAAACCUUUCGACGCCACUAACAUCACUACAUUAUCAUGGCUCUGAAGUGUACCUCGUAGACAGCUUGCACUCUGUACAAUAAAAUUCUGUACAUUCCAGUAGGACUUCGAAAACAGCGCCAAAACGCCAGGAAUUUCUUUUCCGCUGUCAUGAAAUAUAAAGAAAAACACCGUAAUGUAUGGAAAUAAAUAUUGUCUCUUUCCUCCCAAA
Zootermopsis nevadensis is the source of this 454-nucleotide long non-coding RNA. RefSeq lists it as uncharacterized. The record is from RefSeq and is a predicted model, not a curated record. NCBI's taxonomy places the organism in Eukaryota, Metazoa, Arthropoda, Insecta, Blattodea, Termopsidae.